GGAACACCUCCGUUCAAAUACCACUCCUCGCUCUUAUCAGUCAAAACAUAAGCUCCAUGAAGAAAAAAGACUCUCUUCUCCCUUGCUGUUCUAAACAUCAGUUACAUAAGUUGUGCAAUCAUUCUUGCCAUUAUAAGCCCUGAAGAGAAUCACUGUUUGACUCAAAAAUGAGAAGAGUGGUAGAAAAAGGAAGAGUGUGAUUUGAUCAUGGAUAAACACUG
Molecule: long non-coding RNA, 221 nt
Filed under: Homo sapiens (human)
Lineage: Eukaryota; Metazoa; Chordata; Mammalia; Primates; Hominidae
Description: non-protein coding LINC01571:10
Source: RNAcentral